Molecule: ribosomal RNA, 425 nt
Filed under: uncultured bacterium
Lineage: Bacteria
Description: partial 16S ribosomal RNA
Rfam family: Bacterial small subunit ribosomal RNA
Source: RNAcentral
GUGGGGAAUCUUGCGCAAUGGGCGAAAGCCUGACGCAGCCAUGCCGCGUGAAUGAUGAAGGUCUUAGGAUUGUAAAAUUCUUUCACCGGGGACGAUAAUGACGGUACCCGGAGAAGAAGCCCCGGCUAACUUCGUGCCAGCAGCCGCGGUAAUACGAAGGGGGCUAGCGUUGCUCGGAAUUACUGGGCGUAAAGGGGGCGUAGGCGGACAGUGUAGUCAGAGGUGAAAGCCCAGGGCUCCACCUUCGAAUUGCCUUUUAUACUGGCUGUCUUGAGUACGCGAGAGGUGAGUGGAACUCCGAGUGUAGAGGUGAAAUUCGUAGAUAUUCGGAAGAACACCAGUGGCGAAGGCGACUCACUGGCCCGUUACUGACGCUGAGGCGCGAAAGCGUGGGGAGCAAACAGGAUUAGAUACCCGUGUAGUCC